AUGGCAUGUGUCGCUAGCAGCGUCAGCCCGGUGUGCGACAGUAAUAAUCAUCCGUGCAGAAACACCGUGAGCGAUACAACGUUGGCAACGUUGAUUAAACGAAGCUUCGAGGCAAAUCAUUUUGCAUCGAGUAGUUUUUGUAAU
Molecule: long non-coding RNA, 144 nt
Organism: Sander lucioperca (pikeperch)
Lineage: Eukaryota; Metazoa; Chordata; Actinopteri; Perciformes; Percidae
Exons: 3
Source: RefSeq, a predicted model, not a curated record